CACUCCUGCGGGAGGCAGCAGUGGGGAAUUUUGGACAAUGGGCGAAAGCCUGAUCCAGCAAUGCCGCGUGAGUGAAGAAGGCCUUCGGGUUGUAAAGCUCUUUUGUCAGGGAAGAAACGGUGAAAGCUAAUAUCUUUUGCUAAUGACGGUACCUGAAGAAUAAGCACCGGCUAACUACGUGCCAGCAGCCGCGGUAAUACGUAGGGUGCAAGCGUUAAUCGGAAUUACUGGGCGUAAAGCGUGCGCAGGCGGUUUUGUAAGUCUGAUGUGAAAUCCCCGGGCUCAACCUGGGAAUUGCAUUGGAGACUGCAAGGCUAGAAUCUGGCAGAGGGGGGUAGAAUUCCACGUGUAGCAGUGAAAUGCGUAGAUAUGUGGAGGAACACCGAUGGCGAAGGCAGCCCCCUGGGUCAAGAUUGACGCUCAUGCACGAAAGCGUGGGGAGCAAACAGGAUUAGAAACCCCAGUAGUCCCAUGAU
Molecule: ribosomal RNA, 476 nt
Filed under: uncultured organism
Description: partial 16S ribosomal RNA
Rfam family: Bacterial small subunit ribosomal RNA
Source: RNAcentral